UAAUUAAUGUUGAUAGAGAAAAGUACUGUGAACCAUUUCAGUAAAGAGAUAGAUUGUCGUUGGCUGUGAGCAAUCUUCUGAGAUAUCAUAGGAAGUUCGCUCUGGAGUUUCUAAGCUGAAAUCUUACGAUGUGUAGGUUUGGACGUAUAAGAUGCGUUAAAUCUUUUGAGGUGGUCUAAUUAAAGUUUAUUAGGCUACUAGGGUGGUACCGCGGAAUUAUAGUCUUUCGUCCCUAGC
This 237-nucleotide non-coding RNA is filed under the name Peptacetobacter hiranonis. RNAcentral's name for it is "Clostridium hiranonis T-box sequence". It matches the Rfam family "T-box leader". Rfam says of the family: Uncharged tRNA acts as the effector for transcription antitermination of genes in the T-box leader family. T-boxes are found upstream of many aminoacyl-tRNA synthetase genes and some amino acid biosynthetic genes usually in Gram-positive bacteria. The anticodon of a specific tRNA base pairs to a specifier sequence within the T-box motif, and the NCCA acceptor tail of the tRNA base pairs to a conserved bulge in the T-box antiterminator hairpin. The record is from RNAcentral. Lineage: Bacteria; Bacillati; Bacillota; Clostridia; Peptostreptococcales; Peptostreptococcaceae.